UACGUGGAUAACCUACCUAUAAGACUGGGAUAACUUCGGGAAACCGGAGCUAAUACCGGAUAAUAUUUUGAACCGCAUGGUUCAAAAGUGAAAGACGGUCUUGCUGUCACUUAUAGAUGGAUCCGCGCUGCAUUAGCUAGUUGGUAAGGUAACGGCUUACCAAGGCAACGAUGCAUAGCCGACCUGAGAGGGUGAUCGGCCACACUGGAACUGAGACACGGUCCAGACUCCUACGGGAGGCAGCAGUAGGGAAUCUUCCGCAAUGGGCGAAAGCCUGACGGAGCAACGCCGCGUGAGUGAUGAAGGUCUUCGGAUCGUAAAACUCUGUUAUUAGGGAAGAACAUAUGUGUAAGUAACUGUGCACAUCUUGACGGUACCUAAUCAGAAAGCCACGGCUAACUACGUGCCAGCAGCCGCGGUAAUACGUAGGUGGCAAGCGUUAUCCGGAAUUAUUGGGCGUAAAGCGCGCGUAGGCGGUUUUUUAAGUCUGAUGUGAAAGCCCACGGCUCAACCGUGGAGGGUCAUUGGAAACUGGAAAACUUGAGUGCAGAAGAGGAAAGUGGAAUUCCAUGUGUAGCGGUGAAAUGCGCAGAGAUAUGGAGGAACACCAGUGGCGAAGGCGACUUUCUGGUCUGUAACUGACGCUGAUGUGCGAAAGCGUGGGGAUCAAACAGGAUUAGAUACCCUGGUAGUCCACGCCGUAAACGAUGAGUGCUAAGUGUUAGGGGGUUUCCGCCCCUUAGUGCUGCAGCUAACGCAUUAAGCACUCCGCCUGGGGAGUACGACCGCAAGGUUGAAACUCAAAGGAAUUGACGGGGACCCGCACAAGCGGUGGAGCAUGUGGUUUAAUUCGAAGCAACGCGAAGAACCUUACCAAAUCUUGACAUCCUUUGACAACUCUAGAGAUAGAGCCUUCCCCUUCGGGGGACAAAGUGACAGGUGGUGCAUGGUUGUCGUCAGCUCGUGUCGUGAGAUGUUGGGUUAAGUCCCGCAACGAGCGCAACCCUUAAGCUUAGUUGCCAUCAUUAAGUUGGGCACUCUAAGUUGACUGCCGGUGACAAACCGGAGGAAGGUGGGGAUGACGUCAAAUCAUCAUGCCCCUUAUGAUUUGGGCUACACACGUGCUACAAUGGACAAUACAAAGGGCAGCGAAACCGCGAGGUCAAGCAAAUCCCAUAAAGUUGUUCUCAGUUCGGAUUGUAGUCUGCAACUCGACUACAUGAAGCUGGAAUCGCUAGUAAUCGUAGAUCAGCAUGCUACGGUGAAUACGUUCCCGGGUCUUGUA
RNAcentral lists this ribosomal RNA (1285 nucleotides) under Staphylococcus aureus. RNAcentral describes it as "bacterial SSU rRNA". It matches the Rfam family "Bacterial small subunit ribosomal RNA", at positions 114 to 1385 of the family's 1533-position model. The record is from RNAcentral. Lineage: Bacteria; Bacillati; Bacillota; Bacilli; Caryophanales; Staphylococcaceae.